UGGGGAAUUUUGGACAAUGGGCGAAAGCCUGAUCCAGCAAUGCCGCGUGUGUGAAGAAGGCCUUCGGGUUGUAAAGCACUUUUGUCCGGAAAGAAAUCCUUGGCUCUAAUACAGUCGGGGGAUGACGGUACCGGAAGAAUAAGCACCGGCUAACUACGUGCCAGCAGCCGCGGUAAUACGUAGGGUGCAAGCGUUAAUCGGAAUUACUGGGCGUAAAGCGUGCGCAGGCGGUUUGCUAAGACCGAUGUGAAAUCCCCGGGCUCAACCUGGGAACUGCAUUGGUGACUGGCAGGCUAGAGUAUGGCAGAGGGGGGUAGAAUUCCACGUGUAGCAGUGAAAUGCGUAGAGAUGUGGAGGAAUACCGAUGGCGAAGGCAGCCCCCUGGGCCAAUACUGACGCUCAUGCACGAAAGCGUGGGGGAGCAAAACAGGAUUAGAUACCCCUGGUAGUCCACGCCCUAAACGAUGUCAACUAGUUGUUGGGGAUUCAUUUCCUUAGUAACGUAGCUAACGCGUGAAGUUGACCGCCUGGGGAGUACGGUCGCAAGAUUAAAACUCAAAUGAAUUGACGGGGUCAUAGCUGUUUCCU
RNAcentral lists this ribosomal RNA (588 nucleotides) under uncultured bacterium. RNAcentral describes it as "partial 16S ribosomal RNA". It matches the Rfam family "Bacterial small subunit ribosomal RNA", at positions 355 to 1375 of the family's 1533-position model. The record is from RNAcentral.